CUACGGGGGGCUCCAGUGAGGAAUAUUGCACAAUGGGGGGAACCCUGAUGCAGCAACGCCGCGUGGAGGAUGACGCAUUUCGGUGUGUAAACUCCUUUUAUAUGUCAAGAAAAUGACGGUAGCAUAUGAAUAAGCACCGGCUAACUCCGUGCCAGCAGCCGCAGGUAAUAGGGAGGGUGCAAGCGUUACUCGGAAUCACUGGGCGUAAAGGACGCGUAGGCGGGUUGGAAAGUCAGGUGUGAAAUCCUACAGCUUAACUGUAGAACUGCACUUGAAACUUCUAAUCUAGAGUAUGGGAGGGGGAGAUGGAAUUAGUGGUGUAGGGGUAAAAUCCGUAGAUAUCACUAGGAAUACCUAAAGCGAAGGCGAUCUCCUGGAACAUUACUGACGCUAAGGCGUGAAAGCGUGGGGAGCAAACAGGAUUAGAUACCCUGGUAGUC
Molecule: ribosomal RNA, 440 nt
Filed under: uncultured bacterium
Lineage: Bacteria
Description: partial 16S ribosomal RNA
Rfam family: Bacterial small subunit ribosomal RNA
Source: RNAcentral